CGACCGGCGCACGGGUGAGUAACGCGUAUGCAACCUACCUAUCAGGAGGGAAUAACCCGGCGAAAGUCGGACUAAUACCGCAUAAAACAGGGGUUCCACAUGGAAAUAUUUGUUAAAGAAUUAUCGCUGAUAGAUGGGCAUGCGUUCCAUUAGAUAGUUGGUGAGGUAACGGCUCACCAAGUCCACGAUGGAUAGGGGUUCUGAGAGGAAGGUCCCCCACACUGGUACUGAGACACGGACCAGACUCCUACGGAAGGCAGCAG
This 263-nucleotide ribosomal RNA is filed under the name uncultured bacterium. RNAcentral's name for it is "partial 16S ribosomal RNA". It matches the Rfam family "Bacterial small subunit ribosomal RNA", at positions 92 to 354 of the family's 1533-position model. The record is from RNAcentral.